ACGCCAGUAGCUCAACUUGGUAGAGCAUUGGUCUCCAAAACCAAAGGUUGGGGGUUCGAUUCCCUCCUGGCGUG
This 74-nucleotide transfer RNA is filed under the name Methanobacteriota archaeon. Its description in RNAcentral is "Euryarchaeota archaeon tRNA-Trp". It matches the Rfam family "tRNA". Rfam says of the family: Transfer RNA (tRNA) molecules are approximately 80 nucleotides in length. Their secondary structure includes four short double-helical elements and three loops (D, anti-codon, and T loops). RNAcentral also lists the same sequence under 5 other names. The record is from RNAcentral. Lineage: Archaea; Methanobacteriati; Methanobacteriota.